ACCUGCAAGUCGAGCGGUAGAGAGAAGCUUGCUUCUCUUGAGAGCGGCGGACGGGUGAGUAAUGCCUAGGAAUCUGCCUGGUAGUGGGGGAUAACGCUCGGAAACGGACGCUAAUACCGCAUACGUCCUACGGGAGAAAGCAGGGGACCUUCGGGCCUUGCGCUAUCAGAUGAGCCUAGGUCGGAUUAGCUAGUUGGUGAGGUAAUGGCUCACCAAGGCGACGAUCCGUAACUGGUCUGAGAGGAUGAUCAGUCACACUGGAACUGAGACACGGUCCAGACUCCUACGGGAGGCAGCAGUGGGGAAUAUUGGACAAUGGGCGAAAGCCUGAUCCAGCCAUGCCGCGUGUGUGAAGAAGGUCUUCGGAUUGUAAAGCACUUUAAGUUGGGAGGAAGGGCAGUAACCUAAUACGUUAUUGUUUUGACGUUACCGACAGAAUAAGCACCGGCUAACUCUGUGCCAGCAGCCGCGGUAAUACAGAGGGUGCAAGCGUUAAUCGGAAUUACUGGGCGUAAAGCGCGCGUAGGUGGUUUGUUAAGUUGAAUGUGAAAUCCCCGGGCUCAACCUGGGAACUGCAUCCAAAACUGGCAAGCUAGAGUAGGGCAGAGGGUGGUGGAAUUUCCUGUGUAGCGGUGAAAUGCGUAGAUAUAGGAAGGAACACCAGUGGCGAAGGCGACCACCUGGGCUCAUACUGACACUGAGGUGCGAAAGCGUGGGGAGCAAACAGGAUUAGAUACCCUGGUAGUCCACGCCGUAAACGAUGUCAACUAGCCGUUGGAAUCCUUGAGAUUUUAGUGGCGCAGCUAACGCAUUAAGUUGACCGCCUGGGGAGUACGGCCGCAAGGUUAAAACUCAAAUGAAUUGACGGGGGCCCGCACAAGCGGUGGAGCAUGUGGUUUAAUUCGAACAACGCGAAGAACCUUACC
This 926-nucleotide ribosomal RNA is filed under the name Pseudomonas viridiflava. Its description in RNAcentral is "bacterial SSU rRNA". It matches the Rfam family "Bacterial small subunit ribosomal RNA", at positions 53 to 975 of the family's 1533-position model. Lineage: Bacteria; Pseudomonadati; Pseudomonadota; Gammaproteobacteria; Pseudomonadales; Pseudomonadaceae. The record is from RNAcentral.